Molecule: long non-coding RNA, 216 nt
Filed under: Phoenix dactylifera (date palm)
Lineage: Eukaryota; Viridiplantae; Streptophyta; Magnoliopsida; Arecales; Arecaceae
Description: long non-coding RNA (PDAC_LNC011046)
Source: RNAcentral
UACGUAACAGGCUGUUAGAUUGGUAACCAACUGCUUUUAUAUGCGUAUCACCAGCUGGGCCAGAACAACAACUCCACAAAAACACUUUGUGCACCGAAGGAUUGAAUUUUGCACUUCUCAAACCAAUUAAGAUCGGUCAAGUGAGGUCAUUCUCAUCGAGAGUUUCUUCUUCCUUGGCCUCUUCCCCCUUCAGCUCCUUCAAUUCCCCUGUUGGCA